RNAcentral lists this ribosomal RNA (553 nucleotides) under uncultured bacterium. RNAcentral's name for it is "bacterial SSU rRNA". It matches the Rfam family "Bacterial small subunit ribosomal RNA", at positions 125 to 673 of the family's 1533-position model. The record is from RNAcentral.
UCUGCCUGGUAGUGGGGGAUAACGUUCGGAAACGGACGCUAAUACCGCAUACGUCCUACGGGAGAAAGCAGGGGACCUUCGGGCCUUGCGCUAUCAGAUGAGCCUAGGUCGGAUUAGCUAGUUGGUGGGGUAAUGGCUCACCAAGGCGACGAUCCGUAACUGGUCUGAGAGGAUGAUCAGUCACACUGGAACUGAGACACGGUCCAGACUCCUACGGGAGGCAGCAGUGGGGAAUAUUGGACAAUGGGCGAAAGCCUGAUCCAGCCAUGCCGCGUGUGUGAAGAAGGUCUUCGGAUUGUAAAGCACUUUAAGUUGGGAGGAAGGGUUGUAGAUUAAUACUCUGCAAUUUUGACGUUACCGACAGAAUAAGCACCGGCUAACUCUGUGCCAGCAGCCGCGGUAAUACAGAGGGUGCAAGCGUUAAUCGGAAUUACUGGGCGUAAAGCGCGCGUAGGUGGUUUGUUAAGUUGGAUGUGAAAUCCCCGGGCUCAACCUGGGAACUGCAUUCAAAACUGACUGACUAGAGUAUGGUAGAGGGUGGUGGAAUUUCCUG